Molecule: ribosomal RNA, 724 nt
Filed under: uncultured Photobacterium sp.
Lineage: Bacteria; Pseudomonadati; Pseudomonadota; Gammaproteobacteria; Vibrionales; Vibrionaceae
Description: bacterial SSU rRNA
Rfam family: Bacterial small subunit ribosomal RNA
Source: RNAcentral
GACUUAACUGAACCUUCGGGGAACGUUAAGGCGGCGAGCGGCGGACGGGUGAGUAAUGCCUGGGAAUAUGCCCUGAUGUGGGGGAUAACUAUUGGAAACGAUAGCUAAUACCGCAUAAUCUCUUCGGAGCAAAGAGGGGGACCUUCGGGCCUCUCGCGUCAGGAUUAGCCCAGGUGGGAUUAGCUUGUUGGUGAGGUAAUGGCUCACCAAGGCAACGAUCCCUAGCUGGUCUGAGAGGAUGAUCAGCCACACUGGAACUGAGACACGGUCCAGACUCCUACGGGAGGCAGCAGUGGGGAAUAUUGCACAAUGGGGGAAACCCUGAUGCAGCCAUGCCGCGUGUAUGAAGAAGGCCUUCGGGUUGUAAAGUACUUUCAGUAGGGAGGAAGGCAGUGUCGUUAAUAGCGGCAUUGUUUGACGUUACCUACAGAAGAAGCACCGGCUAACUCCGUGCCAGCAGCGCGGUAAUACGGAGGGUGCGAGCGUUAAUCGGAAUUACUGGGCGUAAAGCGCAUGCAGGCGGUCUGUUAAGCAAGAUGUGAAAGCCCGGGGCUCAACCUCGGAACAGCAUUUUGAACUGGCAGACUAGAGUCUUGUAGAGGGGGGUAGAAUUUCAGGUGUAGCGGUGAAAUGCGUAGAGAUCUGAAGGAAUACCGGUGGCGAAGGCGGCCCCCUGGACAAAGACUGACGCUCAGAUGCGAAAGCGUGGGGAGCAAACAGGAUU